Molecule: ribosomal RNA, 445 nt
Filed under: uncultured Anaerolinea sp.
Lineage: Bacteria; Bacillati; Chloroflexota; Anaerolineae; Anaerolineales; Anaerolineaceae
Description: bacterial SSU rRNA
Rfam family: Bacterial small subunit ribosomal RNA
Source: RNAcentral
CACAAGCGGUGGAGCGUGUGGUUUAAUUCGAUGUUACACGAAGAACCUUACCAGGGUUUGACAUGCAGGUGGUAGGAAUCCGAAAGGUGACCGACCCUUCGGGGAGCCUGCACAGGUGCUGCAUGGCUGUCGUCAGCUCGUGUCGUGAGAUGUUCGGUUAAGUCCGCUAACGAGCGCAACCCUCGCCGUGUGUUACAUGUGUCACGCGGGACCGCCGGUCUUAAGCCGGAGGAAGGUGGGGACGACGUCAAAUCAUCAUGCCCUUUAUGUCCUGGGCUACACACGUACUACAAUGGCCGUUACAACGGGAAGCGAAGGAGCAAUCCGGAGCAAAUCCCUUAAAGGCGGUCCCAGUUCAGAUUGUGGGCUGAAACUCGCCCACAUGAAGGCGGAAUUGCUAGUAAUUGCAGAUCAGCAUGCUGCAGUGAAUACGUUCCCGGGCCUU